AUUGAACGCUGGCGGCAGGCCUAACACAUGCAAGUCGAACGGUAACAGGAAGCAGCUUGCUGCUUUGCUGACGAGUGGCGGACGGGUGAGUAAUGUCUGGGAAACUGCCCGAUGGAGGGGGAUAACUACUGGAAACGGUAGCUAAUACCGCAUAACGUCGCAAGACCAAAGAGGGGGACCUUAGGGCCUCUUGCCAUCGGAUGUGCCCAGAUGGGAUUAGCUAGUAGGUGGGGUAACGGCUCACCUAGGCGACGAUCCCUAGCUGGUCUGAGAGGAUGACCAGCCACACUGGAACUGAGACACGGUCCAGACUCCUACGGGAGGCAGCAGUGGGGAAUAUUGCACAAUGGGCGCAAGCCUGAUGCAGCCAUGCCGCGUGUAUGAAGAAGGCCUUCGGGUUGUAAAGUACUUUCAGCGGGGAGGAAGGGAGUAAAGUUAAUACCUUUGCUCAUUGACGUUACCCGCGGAAGAAGCACCGGCUAACUCCGUG
RNAcentral lists this ribosomal RNA (490 nucleotides) under uncultured bacterium. Its description in RNAcentral is "partial 16S ribosomal RNA". It matches the Rfam family "Bacterial small subunit ribosomal RNA", at positions 30 to 507 of the family's 1533-position model. The record is from RNAcentral.